CACUGAAGUAGUUUUUUUUCCUCCUUCAAAUUACCUUGGACUGCAAUAGCCAACCUUUUGUAAGCUGGAUAUUUAUCUGAUAAUAUCCUGGUCGCUGGCAGUGAUAAAAGAAAAGUAAUGCUUGUCCAUUUAGAAAUGAAUUACCAGGGUGGUCGUCAGAAAAAUAACGAAGGCUGGCAUCAAAUUUCUCGAGGAGCAAGAAUGAUUGAGAAAGGCACAUUGUUGAGUGUAGAUCGUAGCCUAAAAACUAAUACUUUAUUUGAUAUCUGUGUUGAACACAUGAAGGUGGUAAAUUGAUUUAUCUGGAGGACCUUGAAAUAAGAAAAGGAAGAAACAAAAGCUAGGCAAUUUGGCUUUAUCCAAUAAACAUGUUAAGGUUCACUAUAACUAGAGCAACCACCCUCCUCUUUCGAGGUUUCGACGCUCAAAAGCCGUAGUCACAUGUCAUCCACGAAGCGUAUCAUGGCCGUAAGCUAGAUGAUUGAAUCUUUAAGGGUAUUUUGCAUCCUUUUCAGCCUGACAUUUCUAUAAACGAAAGGGGAAUUUUGGGUGGUAAAUCAUCUUUCAAAAGCAUGCCCUUCCACCGCAAUAUAACACAACCACGCACUAACGAUGUUAUCAUAAAAAAAACAAAAAAAAAGGGGAUAAGCUGUCACAGGUUCGUACUGGAAGAAACACAAGUUUAACCAGACUAAACUUGUGAUUCCAGGUGCCAAGAUUGAAAUUUCCGUUGAUCCGGAAAAAUCAUCUCAAAAAUCAACGUGCGAUUUUAAUGAAGUAAUGACAUUAGCAUACCUCAUGGCAAACUUCGUGUUGAGUCAUGACCUGAACAUGUAAACCACGGCACAAGAUUUCUCAUGGCAGACAGAAUAAUCACAGCAUGCCUUUGGUGACAUCGACGAUAGACAUGAAUUGGCUCUUUAAAUCUAUAGCUGUACGAGCUCAAAGGAAAAGGGUUGAGCACAAACCUUUAUUUAUCUUUAAGUAGCACAGACAAAUGUGAAGUAGAUAUAUAUAAAUUCCAUCCUGCU
This is a long non-coding RNA of Populus euphratica (Euphrates poplar), 1031 nucleotides long. RefSeq lists it as uncharacterized. Lineage: Eukaryota; Viridiplantae; Streptophyta; Magnoliopsida; Malpighiales; Salicaceae. The transcript is spliced from 2 exons. The record is from RefSeq and is a predicted model, not a curated record.